CCCUUAGAUGUUCUGGGCCGCACGCGCGCUACACUGACGGAGUCAACGAGUUGUCCUGCAUCGGAAGGUGUGGGUAAUCUUUUGAAACUUCGUCGUGCUGGGGAUAGAUCUUUGCAAUUUUCGAUCUUGAACGAGGAAUUCCUAGUAAGCGUGAUUCAUCAGAUCGCGUUGAUUACGUCCCUGCCUUUUGUACACACCGCCCGUCGCUACUACCGAUUGAAUGGUUUAGUGAGGCCUCGGGACUGGCGCGCUCGAGUAGCAAUACACCUGCGCGCCGGGAACUUGGUCAAACUUGAUCAUUUAGAGGAAGUAAAAGUCGUAACA
RNAcentral lists this ribosomal RNA (324 nucleotides) under uncultured eukaryote. RNAcentral's name for it is "partial 18S ribosomal RNA". It matches the Rfam family "Eukaryotic small subunit ribosomal RNA", at positions 1470 to 1796 of the family's 1831-position model. The record is from RNAcentral.